RNAcentral lists this ribosomal RNA (119 nucleotides) under Pteropus alecto (black flying fox). Lineage: Eukaryota; Metazoa; Chordata; Mammalia; Chiroptera; Pteropodidae. The record is from RNAcentral.
GUCUAUAGCCAUACCACCCUGAACAAGCGCGAUCUCGUCUGAUCUCGGAAGCUAAGCAGGGUCGGGCCUGGUUAGUACUUGAAUGGGAGACCACCUAGGAAGACCAGGUGCUGUAGGCG